Molecule: long non-coding RNA, 4177 nt
Filed under: Sus scrofa (pig)
Lineage: Eukaryota; Metazoa; Chordata; Mammalia; Artiodactyla; Suidae
Description: lncRNA (ENSSSCG00030042287.1)
Source: RNAcentral
ACCCCUAGCCCAGGAAUUUCCAUAUGCCACAAGUGUGGCCCUAAAAAAGCAAAAAUAAAUAAAUAAAUAAAUGAAAAUAAAAAGGAGGCAGGAUAAUGGAUAAUAAACUUUUCUGGAGAAAAAAGUUCCCCAACAUGAACAGUACACUACUAGGUAACAAAAUCAAGAAUUUUUAGCCUGCAAAGUAUGAGACUCCUGAGUAUGUGGCUGGACAAUGGGCUGUACAAUUAAGUCUGGCCUAAAACAAACUAGUCUUACCCUGGGAAUGUGGAUCCCUAACAUAUUCUGGAUUAAGAGUUGUAAACUGUAAUUAUAACAAACCUCCUCCAUACAUAACAACUGUUAAGAGAAACAAUGCGUAGUUCAAAUUUUGUAUAUCUUUCUUUUCUUUUUUUUUUUUCUUUUCUAGGACCGCGCCCACAGCAUAUGGAGGGUCCCAGGUGUAGCCCUCAAAAGAAAAAAAAACUUACUUGGAUCCCUUUUAAAAACAAUGUGACCUACAAGUUUCAAAAACUAUCACAUAUUACUUUCUGCCUUUCAAAAUGCUUCCUUUAGGGACAAAGUAGAUUAGACAUACAGUUUCCCUGAUGUAAUCAUGUUUCAGAUACGUAUACUGUAGCCCCAUGAGGGCUGCACUAGCAUUGUGAUUUCUAGGCCACCAAAUCAGAAGCAUAUAAGGAACCUGAAAAAGAAUUCUAGUAACCCCUGCUCUCCAAUCUUAAUUGAGAAUCUCUGUGUGAGGGACUGGGAAUCCGCAUUAAACAGCCAAGUACAAUUGUGUACUUAGUUCUCAUAUUUUAAGGAGAAAUUUUAAGUUAGCACAUAAACCAUAAAGAAUUUUGGUAUUAAAAUAUAUCUUAAAUUUAUAAUUCAUCAGAUGAAAACUUACUUUGUGAUGGCUUCCUGUAACUUAGUGCCCUCUCUGAUGAAAGUUUUUCCAAAACUGAAAACUUUGUAGGACUGAAAUUCAGGGGUAGUUUCACAAACACCAGAUAUAGUCUGAUUCUUCCCUAAACUUAUGUCAGUAUUAUGGUUUAAUGAAAUCUCAUUUUCUUAAAAUUUAUUAGGCAUUCUUUGGUGAAAUCCAGCUAGUCAACACAUUGUUGUCCAAAGCAGGUUAUCUACAGUACUGGUUUGUUGGCUUUAGCUCUCAGCUAAAGUAUAGAAAUAGGUAUUCAAACAAACCAAUCAAGUACAAAUACACAUAUAACCUAAAUGGACCACAGAGUUUCAACUUUUCUUUCCUUACUGCUUAGUAUGAAAAGAAAAUUAUCAAUGUCCAUAUUAAUUAUUCUGCAAUCCACAGCACAAAUUUGUGGCUACAGCCACAAUGUACACAGUAGCAAUUUAGACUUAAAUUACAUAGCAUGAAAAAUUCAGUUUUGUCACAAAAGCCAUACUUCCAAGGCUCAACAGUAACAUAUGUUAGUAGUGACUACCAUAUUAGACAGCAUAGCUAUAGAACAUUUCCAUCAUCAGAGUUAUACUGGCCAGUGCUAAUCUAGAGCACUACCAAACAUACAAAAGAACUAUUUGAGAGACCAACCUAUCAAACCUUAUAAAGACAUCUACAUGUCACUCACUGCAUUUUAUUUAGGGUUGGCUAGACAUCAAGGACUAUACUAGGUGCUUAGGUACAAGACUCAACAAGAACCUGUGCCCUCAAGAAGCUCCAAAUAGUUAGGAGAAUUUAAGCAAGCAAUGACAACAACCUGAUAAGUGCUAUGAUUCAACCUGCUAUGGGAUCAGGAGAAAGCAAUACUAACUUUUUUAUGGGGGAUUCUGGCUUAAAGGAUGACAGAUCACAGAGGAGAUAUUUCAGUCUUCAUGCUCUUUACUUGAAGGGUAAGGACUAUGGAGGGUAGCAUUCCAGAGGGAACCACCCUACAGAGAUCUGAUAAUGUUACUUUGAUUUCGGUAAAUAGCAAUCAACUCAGUGUGACUUGAGCAGAAAAGUACUUUUUGUAGGCAUGUGUGGAAAAUUGUGCAAAGAAAAAGGUGUUGAGAAAAGAUAAGGUUAGUCCACUGAGGGAACUCCUUUUUCACAUUUGUGAUGAUAGAAUGCAUUGUUUAAGUAGUUAGGAGCCAGUAAUGGAGUUGUGUCAGUUAUUUUCAUGCUUUAUCUUAAUUUUAGGACAACUGUCCCAGCAACACCUAAGAUUUAUCAGAUACUGGAGACAGAGACACUAGUUUGGAAGCUAUUAGCAUUACGGCAACUGAGCUCAGUUACUAACUAAUGAAAAUACAAACAGAUUUAUUGAAAAGUAUUCAAAAGACAUAAAGGGGAGUAUUGCUGAACCUCAGGUCCAAUCGCAGUGGUAGUCAAGAUCAUCUGACUGUGAAUAGGGUCAGGAGUAAAAUCCCAGCUUAAGAAAAAGAAAAAAAUGAAAAUCAAGGUAAAUAUUCACGAACAUCAGUAAAUGAGGAAUAAAUGCACUGUUGGGCCUAUGCUCAAGAUGGGUAGUGUUUAUUGGUGGUGGAACUUAUCUGAUUUCAUGACUUGCUGGCUACCUAAAACAGGUGAGGAGAAAGCCAAUGCUAUGUCUGGGACUGGAUGAGCAAGUACAACAAACAAAAUGGGCUUAAAGUAUGAGUGAGAGUUAUCUGACCGUAAGGAUGCAAGUGAGGGGGCCUAAGGUUUGGAGAUUAAUAUUUAAUCUCAGAUGCUAUACUUUGGUGGUGUAGCAAAAGUCUACAAAUGGGAUGACUGUAAAACUCAGUAGAUCCGUGCUUUUUAACCUAUCUCCCUUCAUCAGGAAAUUGCGACACAAAGAUCUUUAGUAAUAACACGCAGUCUCAAUGCAUAAAAUCAGGCUUAGGUGUUGCCUGGACUCAUUUCCCAUCUCCACCCCACUAUAAUUAUUUUGUGACACAAACUCAAGACGGUGGGAAUAUAGAGAAAUUGGGCUCGUCCUCGUACACCUGCUCAAUCCCCUGCAGGACAACGCCCAAGAAUCAGGUUAAGCCAGGGCAAAAGAAUCCCGCCCAUAAUCGAGAAGGAGCAAACUGACAUGGAGGCGAUGACGAGAUCGCGGGGGAGGGAGGGAUUUUUCUAGGCCCAGGGCGGUCCUUAGGAAAAGGAGGCAGCAGAGAACUCCCAUAAAGGUAUUGCGGCACUCCCCUCCCCCUGCGGAGAAGGGUGCGGCCUUCUCUCCGCCUCCUCCACUGCAGCUCCCUCAGGAUUGCAGCUCGCGCGGGUUUUUGGAGAACAUGCGCCUCCCACCCACAAGCCAGCAGGACCGACCCCCCACUCCUUCCUCCACCCCCCACCCCCACGGGUCCGAGAGCAGGUAGAGCUAGUCUCGUCCUUCAGGCGGCGGACGCCCAGGGCGGAGUCGCAGUCACCACCACCCAGAAGCCUCGGCCCGGCAGCCCGCCCCCGCCUCCUGCGCGCGCUUCCUGCCACGUUGCGCAGGGGCGAGGGGCCAGACACUGCGGCGCUGGCCUCGGGGAGGGCCGUACCAAAGACCGCCUCCCUGCCGACUCGCGUAGUGGUUUCGCUCAUUUGGGACCCAAGCCAAUAACAAGGGGCCGUUCCCAGGACUUCAGCAGCCAAUCAGAUACCAAAGCCGAGCAGGCGGCGGGUAAACCGACUCCCCCGGAGGGGAGGGUGGCAGGACGCCCGCGCGGGAGCCACUUUCACUGACCCUCCCCUCCCCCCGCAGGAGGCCGACAGCGCCCGCCUGUGCAGCUCUCUCCACCCCACCUACCUACCCACCCAGGGGGCAAUGCGAGAGUUCCUGGGAGGCUGCGCACUCCCGAGGCUGUAACUGACAGGAGCUUUACUCCAACCAAAACACGCCAUUUGUGUUUUCACACACGGCGGGAGGAGAAGCGGCCAAUCAGUGACAAGAGAAGAGCAGGAAGCGCUCCUCCCUCUGCGGGAGCAAUGGCUCCGUCCGUAUUCCAGGCUUUUCCGCUCCCUUCUCCCUCCCCCUCCGGUUGCCGCAGGGCGGGCCGCACUCCCGCCUGCCUCUCACCACCUCUUCCCCUUCCAGCGUAACAAACGAUAUGCUCCCGACUUCCCGCUAGGGAAGGCGACCCCCGCUACCGGUCAGACCACCUCAAGCACCCAUCCCCCGCCAAACCGCCGGCCCUCCCCCAAACCAGAGUCCCGCUCCCCUACCUAGCCGAGGCUCUCUGAGGAGCCGGAGCCCCAGAGCACAGCCUCUUCUCU